CGUGAGUAACCUGCCCUUGACUCUGGGAUAAGCGUUGGAAACGACGUCUAAUACCGGAUACGAGCUUCCACCGCAUGGUGAGUUGCUGGAAAGAAUUUUGGUCAAGGAUGGACUCGCGGCCUAUCAGCUUGUUGGUGAGGUAAUGGCUCACCAAGGCGACGACGGGUAGCCGGCCUGAGAGGGUGACCGGCCACACUGGGACUGAGACACGGCCCAGACUCCUACGGGAGGCAGCAGUGGGGAAUAUUGCACAAUGGGCGAAAGCCUGAUGCAGCAACGCCGCGUGAGGGACGACGGCCUUCGGGUUGUAAACCUCUUUUAGCAGGGAAGAAGCGAAAGUGACGGUACCUGCAGAAAAAGCACCGGCUAACUACGUGCCAGCAGCCGCGGUAAUACGUAGGGUGCAAGCGUUGUCCGGAAUUAUUGGGCGUAAAGAGCUCGUAGGCGGUUUGUCGCGUCUGCUGUGAAAUCCCGAGGCUCAACCUCGGGUCUGCAGUGGGUACGGGCAGACUAGAGUGCGGUAGGGGAGAUUGGAAUUCCUGGUGUAGCGGUGGAAUGCGCAGAUAUCAGGAGGAACACCGAUGGCGAAGGCAGAUCUCUGGGCCGUUACUGACGCUGAGGAGCGAAAGGGUGGGGAGCAAACAGGCUUAGAUACCCUGGUAGUCCACCCCGUAAACGUUGGGCGCUAGAUGUGGGGACCAUUCCACGGUUUCCGUGUCGUAGCUAACGCAUUAAGCGCCCCGCCUGGGGAGUACGGCCGCAAGGCUAAAACUCAAAGGAAUUGACGGGGGCCCGCACAAGCGGCGGAGCAUGCGGAUUAAUUCGAUGCAACGCGAAGAACCUUACCAAGGCUUGACAUAUACGAGAACGGGCCAGAAAUGGUCAACUCUUUGGACACUCGUAAACAGGUGGUGCAUGGUUGUCGUCAGCUCGUGUCGUGAGAUGUUGGGUUAAGUCCCGCAACGAGCGCAACCCUCGUUCUAUGUUGCCAGCACGUAAUGGUGGGAACUCAUGGGAUACUGCCGGGGUCAACUCGGAGGAAGGUGGGGACGACGUCAAAUCAUCAUGCCCCUUAUGUCUUGGGCUUCACGCAUGCUACAAUGGCCAGUACAAAGGGCUGCAAUACCGUAAGGUGGAGCGAAUCCCAAAAAGCUGGUCCCAGUUCGGAUUGAGGUCUGCAACUCGACCUCAUGAAGUCGGAGUCGCUAGUAAUCGCAGAUCAGCAACGCUGCGGUGAAUACGUUCCCGGGCCUUGUACACACCGCCCGUCAAGUCAUGAAAGUCGGUAACACCCGAAGCCAGUGGCCUAACCGCAAGGAUGGAGCUGUCUAAAGGUGGGAUUGGUAAUUAGGACUAAGUCGUAACAAAGG
This 1370-nucleotide ribosomal RNA is filed under the name Plantibacter sp. TSE8. RNAcentral describes it as "bacterial SSU rRNA". It matches the Rfam family "Bacterial small subunit ribosomal RNA". The record is from RNAcentral. Lineage: Bacteria; Bacillati; Actinomycetota; Actinomycetes; Micrococcales; Microbacteriaceae.